This 939-nucleotide ribosomal RNA is filed under the name marine metagenome. Its description in RNAcentral is "bacterial SSU rRNA". It matches the Rfam family "Bacterial small subunit ribosomal RNA", at positions 8 to 995 of the family's 1533-position model. The record is from RNAcentral.
AGAGUUUGAUCAUGGCUCAGAACGUACGCUGGCGGCACGCCUUAUACAUGCAAGUCGAACGAAGUAGCAAUACUUAGUGGCAGACGGGUGAGUAACAUGUAGGUAUCUUCCCUUUGGUGAGGAAUAACACGAGGAAACUUGUGCUAAUACCUCAUAAGUCUUUACGGAGAAAGCUUUAUGCGCCAAAGGAUGAGCCUGCACUUGAUUAGUUUGUUGGUGGGGUAAUGGCUUACCAAGACUUUGAUCAAUAGCUGAUCUGAGAGGAUGAUCAGCCACAUUGGGACUGAGACACGGCCCAAACUCCUACGGGAGGCAGCAGUAGGGAAUAUUGCACAAUGGAGGAAACUCUGAUGCAGCGAUGCCGCGUGAGUGAAGAAGGCCCUUGGGUUGUAAAGCUCUUUCGUCGGGGAAGAAAAUGACUGUACCCGAAUAAGAAGGUCCGGCUAACUUCGUGCCAGCAGCCGCGGUAAUACGAAGGGACCUAGCGUAGUUCGGAAUUACUGGGCUUAAAGAGUUCGUAGGUGGUUAAAAAAGUUGGUGGUGAAAUCCCAGAGCUUAACUCUGGAACUGCCAUCAAAACUUUUUAGCUAGAGUAUGAUAGAGGAAAGCAGAAUUUCUAGUGUAGAGGUGAAAUUCGUAGAUAUUAGAAAGAAUACCAAUUGCGAAGGCAGCUUUCUGGAUCAUUACUGACGCUGAGGAACGAAAGCAUGGGUAGCGAAGAGGAUUAGAUACCCUCGUAGUCCAUGCCGUAAACGAUGUGUGUUAGACGUUGGAAAUUUUUUUUCAGUGUCGCAGCGAAAGCAUUAAACACACCGCCUGGGGAGUACGACCGCAAGGUUAAAACUCAAAUGAAUUGACGGGGACCCGCACAAGUAGUGGAGCAUGUGGUUUAAUUCGAAGAUACGCGCAGAACCUUACCAACACUUGACAUGUUCGUCG